This 207-nucleotide ribosomal RNA is filed under the name uncultured Treponema sp. RNAcentral describes it as "partial 16S ribosomal RNA". It matches the Rfam family "Bacterial small subunit ribosomal RNA", at positions 568 to 774 of the family's 1533-position model. Lineage: Bacteria; Pseudomonadati; Spirochaetota; Spirochaetia; Treponematales; Treponemataceae. The record is from RNAcentral.
CAUGUAGGCGGUUCUCUAAGCUUGGUGUGAAAUCCCGGGGCUUAACUCCGGAACUGCAUUGAGAACUGGAGAACUAGAGUGACUGAGGGGCAGCCAGAAUUCCAGGUGUAGGGGUGAAAUCUGUAGAUAUCUGGAAGAAUACCAAUGGCGAAGGCAGGCUGCCAGCAGAUGACUGACGCUGAGGUGCGAAGGUGCGGGGAGCAAACA